This 682-nucleotide ribosomal RNA is filed under the name Ascochyta medicaginicola. RNAcentral's name for it is "eukaryotic LSU rRNA". The stretch from base 147 to 300 matches the Rfam family "5.8S ribosomal RNA". The record is from RNAcentral. Lineage: Eukaryota; Fungi; Ascomycota; Dothideomycetes; Pleosporales; Didymellaceae.
GGUUUAUAAAUCUCUUUUUCCUAGCCAUAUUGCUGCCUAUGUCUACGCGUACCACUUGUUUCCUCGGGGGGCUUGCCCCCCGUUAGGACUCUUUCAUCAACCUUUUUGCAAUAGCAGUCAGCGUCUGAUACUACGUUAAUUAUUAAAACUUUCAACAAUGGAUCUCUUGGUUCUGGCAUCGAUGAAGAACGCAGCGAAAUGCGAUAAGUAGUGUGAAUUGCAGAAUUCAGUGAAUCAUCGAAUCUUUGAACGCACAUUGCGCCCCUUGGUAUUCCAUGGGGCAUGCCUGUUCGAGCGUCAUUUGAACCCUCAAGCUCUGCUUGGUGUUGGGUGUUUGUCCCGCCAUUGCGCGUGGACUCGCCUUAAAGCAAUUGGCAGCCAUGUAAUCCGGCUUUGAGCGCAGCACAUUGCGUACUCUCUACUGGUACAUUGGCAUCCAGAAGCGCAUUUUUUUACUCUUGACCUCGGAUCAGGUAGGGAUACCCGCUGAACUUAAGCAUAUCAAUAAGCGGAGGAAUCCUGGGAUAUGGUUAACACCUUUUCUCUUGGUCUCCCGUGCCAUUGUUUCCGCGGGGGGCUUCCCCCGUUAGGAUCUAUCUCACCUUUUUGCAAUAGCAUCAGCGUGGAUCUACUUAAUUAUUAAAACUAUCAAAUGGUAUCCUGGGUUCGGCCUCAUAAAAAA